This 866-nucleotide long non-coding RNA is filed under the name Sinocyclocheilus anshuiensis. RNAcentral's name for it is "lncRNA (ENSSANG00000038582.1)". Lineage: Eukaryota; Metazoa; Chordata; Actinopteri; Cypriniformes; Cyprinidae. The record is from RNAcentral.
GAUCUACUGAAAGGUGUGGUUAGGUGGAGCAUGUAAAAGGAAAGGAGAUUAGACGGUGUGUGUGUACACUGUGUAAGAGAGAAAGCGAACCAGAAAAAUAGGCAGAAAGUCAUGGACACAGCAAGGUACAAAACUGAUUGGUAGCUGCCUUUAGCGGAGCCUUUACCGAUUACUUCCAUUGAUCAGAGCACUCGGCACGGUCAUCUCUCUUAAGAGUCAGCCAAAGAAAAAAAUAAGAGAAAGAGUUGAGGAUCGAGGCACAGGAAAAGAAAGAGAGGUUAAAAAGAGAAGGACAGAGAGCAACUCUGUGAGUGACCAAGCUGGACCAUCAUCACAAAGCAUUAGCAGCCAGAGGACGACAGAUAAACACGUGGAGAGAGAUCUUCAGAGCUCUUCAGACUCCAGCACAGAAUUGUCGUUUUUCCGUCCGUCCUUGCAUAGUAAAGCAGAGGAUCUUUGGAACAUGGAUAAACACAAGAAAAUGCUUCCUGUCACAUGUGGGAAUAAAAAGGCCUUAUUGGACAGAAAAGCAUUGUAUAAAAGAAAGAGGGACUGCAUUAAAUGUGGCAGAGAAAUGAUCUCCCCUUAUAUGUUUGAGGAAAUGGGUGGAAAAGAAUCAUGCAAGUCCUGGAAAACAAGUAUAUUAUGCCAAGGCACAACCCUCAAGAGUCUCAUUGAGAUGAAUAUUUUGAAGAUACCCAAACUUAAUGGAAAAUUUACCCUUCGUAAAUUAUAUAAAUGAUAUGUGCAUCACAUUAUUUAGCAUUUUCAAUCAGUCAAUAUACUGAGCUUACGAAUCCACUAAUUUUUCCACUUUUAAUAAAGUCAGUCAAUGAAUGAAAAGUGUUAGUGUGAAAUAAAGCUUC